UCCCUCUCCGGCUGGGGGCACUGGCCACUGUGUGCGUGUCCCCCGUGGCCCAGCUGAAAUCCAGCCCACCUCUCUCUGGGAGCCAAGCUGUCCUGGACAGCCUGCUAGCUACUGUGGGCCAGUGCUUUGUCCACCAGGGAGGCACAGACAUACGCACACACCUGGGAUCUCUUGACCGUGGAUGGUUCUGAGUGUGGCUUUGUGUGAAGCUGCUUGAGUCAUUCAGUGGGUGUUACGGGCACACUUCCUCCGGGCCAUGCUCCACAGAUGAUGAGAGCCUUGGCUUCUCCUUCAUCAAAUGCGGACCGGGAUGGGGGUCAGCGGUGGCUCAGCUGGGAACUCCGAGACCCCCAAGGGGCCAGUAUCUCAGAAGCCAGCCACAGCACCACGGGUCUGGAUUGUCGACACCCUGAGCUGUCAGGGUCCUAAGCAGCCGUGCAGAGCGGGGAACACGUGGCUUGUGGUGUUUGGUCACACAGCAUCAGAAGGGAACAGCGUCCCGGCGAGUCAGCCCUUCCUGAAACUUUGGCCACUUCUGGUCCCUGGUCGGUGUCGGGGUCGGGGUGUCAGGGGAGUGACCUCCACAGCCGAGUGGGCAGUACCCCACCCGACACCCAGACCCUUGGAGCUCAGCCCCCUGCUCAACCCAGAGGGUGAGGAGAGUUGGGGCGGUGUGUGGGGUCCCUGAUGCCAGCAUGGCCUCAGCUGGGCCCUUGCUCCACCCUGGAAUUCCAGGACUCCCUUCCUGCUGGGAAUAUUGGGAGUGGCCUCCCACCCCCACUGACACCUGCCCUGGCGUCCCAGGGGACCCUGCCCAUCAUGCGAGCUCACCCAGCACUGCAGGUGCUCACUGGCCACUCUCGGGGGAGUUUGCUGGGUGUGGGGACGGCUGCUGGAGGCAGAUUCUGGGUGGGCCUCCAGCACUCCCCUUUGCAGUGCGUCUCCUGAGGGAGGCAGCUCAUCCUGCAUGCCCCUGAUGGCCCAGAGGUUCAGGGCACCGAGGGGGUCCCAUAUGCCAGGGCUGCUCCAUAGGGACUGGCCUGGAGUGUGUGAGCGAGAGCAAGGCCUUGUGGGCAUGGGUUGGACAAUAGGACCAUGCGGCUGGAACUGGAGCUGUUGAUACAAGUCCUGCUCUGUGGCUGGUGUGUCCUGGAGCAGAGCAGGGAGCUGGAGGUAACUGAGGGUUCGGUGGGGAAGAAAUUGGAAGGUGGGGGUGGGGACAUUCAGCAUCCAUGAGGAGGGUGGCUGGUUGGGGUGUCCAAGGGAGCCCAGCCCAAGUGGGCAGUGCCACCUUUCCCAGAGAGGGAAGUCUGCUCCCAGCCUGCACAUGUAGCCAUCACAGGCUGCACCCUGAAGGGAGCCUCAUACCCCCCAGGCCCUGAGUCCUGGAUCCUUCCAGAAGUCUGUCCACUUCCCGAGCUCAGUUGUGAGCUGUCACCACACUUACUGUGUGCGGCUCCCUCGUGCUGAAUGAAGCUCCUGGGCCCCAAGGGUGUGGGUGGUUGGGAUGUCCCCACCAUUGGCCCGCCGUCCAGGAGGGGCUGUGGUCAUGCAGGAGUGAGAGGGGGGCAGGAGCCCAAGGGCGCACAUACUCUGUGUGCAACGUGGGCCUGUCCCUUGUCUGGGGGCAGCCUCUUCGAGGAUGGGCUGCUGCCCACUUGACACUGGAUGUCCUCGGGCUGAGGAAG
Molecule: long non-coding RNA, 1688 nt
Organism: Vulpes vulpes (red fox)
Lineage: Eukaryota; Metazoa; Chordata; Mammalia; Carnivora; Canidae
Source: Ensembl